AGCAGCCGCGGUAAUUCCAGCUCCAAUAGCGUAUAUUAAAGUUGUUGCAGUUAAAAAGCUCGUAGUUGAAUUUCGGGAUCAAUUUAUUGGUCGUGCUAUUGUACGUACUGGUAUUAUUGAUUCCUACCUUCUGACGAACCAUGAUGUCAUUAAUUUGGUGUCUUGGGGAAUCAGGACUGUUACUUUGAAAAAAUUAGAGUGUUUAAAGCAGGCUCACGCUUGAAUACAUUAGCAUGGAAUAACGAAAUAGGACGUUUGAUUCUAUUUUGUUGGUUUCUAGGAUCGACGUAAUGAUUAAUAGGGAUAGUUGGGGGCAUUAGUAUUCAAUUGUCAGAGGUGAAAUUCUUGGAUUUAUUGAAGACUAACUACUGCGAAAGCAUUUGCCAAGGAUGUUUUCAUUAAUCAAGAACGAAAGUUAGGGGAUCGAAGACGAUCAGAUACCGUCGUAGUCUUAACCAUAAACUAUGCCGACUAGGGAUCGGAUGAUGUUAAUUUUUUAAUGACUCAUUCGGCGCCUUACG
This 521-nucleotide ribosomal RNA is filed under the name uncultured Glomeraceae. RNAcentral's name for it is "SSU rRNA". It matches the Rfam family "Eukaryotic small subunit ribosomal RNA", at positions 569 to 1092 of the family's 1831-position model. Lineage: Eukaryota; Fungi; Glomeromycota; Glomeromycetes; Glomerales; Glomeraceae. The record is from RNAcentral.